Molecule: long non-coding RNA, 376 nt
Organism: Eriocheir sinensis (Chinese mitten crab)
Lineage: Eukaryota; Metazoa; Arthropoda; Malacostraca; Decapoda; Varunidae
Exons: 3
Source: RefSeq, a predicted model, not a curated record
CACUUUCCUCGUCACUCGUGUUAACUUGUACGAACACCUUCAGUUUUUCUUCCUUUCCGGCCUUAUCCACAGCAUUGUUGAUGGCGGUGGCGAGCUUUGCACUGUGCACUGUCUCGAUGCAGUAGAGGUGUGGAAUUUCUACAACCUGAAACACCAGACUUGCAGUAGAGGUGUGGAAUUUCUACAACCUGAAACACCAGACUUGCAGUAGAGGUGUGGAAUUUCUACAACCUGAAACACCAGACUUGCAGUAGAGAUGUGGAAUUUCUACAACCUGAAACACCAGACUUGCAGUAGAGGUGUGAAAUUUCUACAACCUGAAACACCAGACAAGUGAAGGAAAUACAAACUAACAAGAGCUUUCCAACAUUACAAA